This is a long non-coding RNA of Ipomoea nil (Japanese morning glory), 111 nucleotides long. RefSeq lists it as uncharacterized. Lineage: Eukaryota; Viridiplantae; Streptophyta; Magnoliopsida; Solanales; Convolvulaceae. The transcript is spliced from 2 exons. The record is from RefSeq and is a predicted model, not a curated record.
UUUGACUUGGUUAAACAACCAAUAUAAGUGUUUGGUUAAUCAACUUUUUGUAACAUUUUAUUGCUCCAAAACGCUAAAAUUUAAAAAGUUGCUCAAAGCAAUUUUUUCGAU